RNAcentral lists this ribosomal RNA (450 nucleotides) under uncultured bacterium. RNAcentral describes it as "partial 16S ribosomal RNA". It matches the Rfam family "Bacterial small subunit ribosomal RNA", at positions 355 to 792 of the family's 1533-position model. The record is from RNAcentral.
UGGGGAAUUUUGGACAAUGGGCGAAAGCCUGAUCCAGCAAUGCCGCGUGUGUGAAGAAGGCCUUCGGGUUGCAAAGCACUUUUGUCCGGAAAGAAAUGGCUCUGGUUAAUACCUGGGGUCGAUGACGGUACCGGAAGAAUAAGGACCGGCUAACUACGUGCCAGCAGCCGCGGUAAUACGUAGGGUCCAAGCGUUAAUCGGAAUUACUGGGCGUAAAGCGUGCGCAGGCGGUUGUGCAAGACCGAUGUGAAAUCCCCGAGCUUAACUUGGGAAUUGCAUUGGUGACUGCACGGCUAGAGUGUGUCAGAGGGGGGUAGAAUUCCACGUGUAGGCAGUGAAAUGCGUAGAGAUGUGGAGGGAAGUACCGAUGGGCGAAGGCAGCCCCCUGGGAAUAACACUGACGCUCAUGCACGAAAGCGUGGGGAGCAAACAGGAUUAGAUACCCUGGUA